GAGUGUUAGAGUGAUCUAGCUGUGAAAUCUCUCACCAUAUUAGUCACCAUGAUUGAUCUGGCUGACACCACUGGCUUGUUGGAUUUCCCCUUUCUUCUCCAAUCGAUAUGAGUGAGGGCCACUGCUAAGAAGCUGUGUGCUGAAUGCAAGAGAAUGGCCUUUCUUACAGAGGGAUCCCAGUUCCCCAUCAAGGAUGUUAGAGUAACAUUGCACUCCCACUAGAUUGUUACUCUAAAUAAGUUCUAAACAUCCAUUACGUAUGUAUUUUUCUUACUAAUAUCUCUAAGUUGUGAGCUU
RNAcentral lists this small nuclear RNA (297 nucleotides) under Mus caroli (Ryukyu mouse). Its description in RNAcentral is "sRNA (MGP_CAROLIEiJ_G0008604.1)". It matches the Rfam family "7SK RNA". From Rfam's summary of the family: 7SK was discovered as an abundant small nuclear RNA in the mid-70s but a possible function has only recently been suggested. Lineage: Eukaryota; Metazoa; Chordata; Mammalia; Rodentia; Muridae. The record is from RNAcentral.